RNAcentral lists this ribosomal RNA (274 nucleotides) under uncultured bacterium. RNAcentral describes it as "partial 16S ribosomal RNA". It matches the Rfam family "Bacterial small subunit ribosomal RNA", at positions 523 to 796 of the family's 1533-position model. The record is from RNAcentral.
AUACGAAGGGGGCUAGCGUUGUUCGGAAUCACUGGGCGUAAAGCGCGCGUAGGCGGUCUAAAAAGUCAGGUGUGAAAGCCCGGGGCUUAACCCCGGAACUGCACUUGAAACUAUUAGACUAGAAUUCGGUAGAGGUUAGUGGAAUUCCUAGUGUAGAGGUGAAAUUCGUAGAUAUUAGGAGGAACACCAGUGGCGAAGGCGACUGACUGGGCCGAUAUUGACGCUGAGGUGCGAAAGCGUGGGGAGCAAACGGGAUUAGAAACCCUAGUAGUCC